GGUGCCGUAGUAUAGUGGUUAGUACUUCACGUUGUGGUUUAUCUAACAGUAAACUCCGUGAGAACACGCGUUCGAUUCGCGUCGGCGCCA
This 90-nucleotide transfer RNA is filed under the name Hypomontagnella monticulosa. Its description in RNAcentral is "tRNA-His". It matches the Rfam family "tRNA". From Rfam's summary of the family: Transfer RNA (tRNA) molecules are approximately 80 nucleotides in length. Their secondary structure includes four short double-helical elements and three loops (D, anti-codon, and T loops). Lineage: Eukaryota; Fungi; Ascomycota; Sordariomycetes; Xylariales; Hypoxylaceae. The record is from RNAcentral.